Molecule: ribosomal RNA, 497 nt
Filed under: uncultured bacterium
Lineage: Bacteria
Description: partial 16S ribosomal RNA
Rfam family: Bacterial small subunit ribosomal RNA
Source: RNAcentral
GAUGAACGCUGGCGGCGUGCCUAAUACAUGCAAGUCGAGCGAACAGAUGAGGAGCUUGCUCCUCUGACGUUAGCGGCGGACGGGUGAGUAACACGUGGAUAACCUACCUAUAAGACUGGGAUAACUUCGGGAAACCGGAGCUAAUACCGGAUAAUAUAUUGAACCGCAUGGUUCAAUAGUGAAAGACGGUUUUGCUGUCACUUAUAGAUGGAUCCGCGCCGCAUUAGCUAGUUGGUAAGGUAACGGCUUACCAAGGCAACGAUGCGUAGCCGACCUGAGAGGGGGAUCGGCAACAUUGGAAAGGAGACAGGGUCAAGACUCAUAGGGGAGGAGGAAGAAGGGAUCCUUCCGAAAGGGGCGAAGGCCGGACGGAGAAGGGCGGGGGGAGGAAGAAAGGUUUUGGGAUCGAAAAACUUGUUUAUGGGGGAAAAAAAAAGGGGAAGGAAAAAAGGCACGUCUGGACGUAACAAAAUAAAAAGGCCAGGGCAAACUACGUG